RNAcentral lists this ribosomal RNA (468 nucleotides) under uncultured bacterium. RNAcentral describes it as "partial 16S ribosomal RNA". It matches the Rfam family "Bacterial small subunit ribosomal RNA", at positions 28 to 507 of the family's 1533-position model. The record is from RNAcentral.
GACGAACGCUGGCGGCGUGCUUAACACAUGCAAGUCGAACGGACAGGCCCUGCUUUUGCGGGGUGCUCGUGUGGCGCACGCGUGAGUGACACGCGUGUAUACUCCCCCUAUCUUUGUGAUAACUCUUCGGGAAUCGGGCUAAUACCCGGUAUGAGCUCCUGAUCCACGGUGUGCAUUGGAAAGUUUCGGCGGUUCGGGAUGGUCUAGCUGCUUCUCCGCUUCUUGGGGGGGUAGUGGCUGACCCAGCGUUUGACGGGUAGCCGGCCUGAGAGGGUGACCGGCCACAUUGGGACUGAGAGACGGCCCAGACUGCUACGGGAGGCAGCAGGGGGGAAUAUUGCACAAUGGGCGGAAGCCUGAUGCAGCAACGCCGCGUGCGGGAUGACGGCCUUCGGGGUGUAAACCGCUUUCGCCUGUGACGAAGCGUGAGUGACGGUAAUGGGUAAAGAAGCACCGGCUAACUACGUG